This 353-nucleotide ribosomal RNA is filed under the name uncultured bacterium. Its description in RNAcentral is "bacterial SSU rRNA". It matches the Rfam family "Bacterial small subunit ribosomal RNA", at positions 8 to 350 of the family's 1533-position model. The record is from RNAcentral.
AGAGUUUGAUCCUGGCUCAGGAUGAACGCUAGCUACAGGCUUAACACAUGCAAGUCGAGGGGCAGCAUGGUCUUAGCUUGCUAAGGCCGAUGGCGACCGGCGCACGGGUGAGUAACACGUAUCCAACCUGCCGUCUACUCUUGGACAGCCUUCUGAAAGGAAGAUUAAUACAAGAUGGCAUCAUGAGUCCGCAUGUUCACAUGAUUAAAGGUAUUCCGGUAGACGAUGGGGAUGCGUUCCAUUAGAUAGGUAGGCGGGGUAACGGCCCACCUAGUCUUCGAUGGAUAGGGGUUCUGAGAGGAAGGUCCCCCANAUUGGAACUGAGACACGGUCCAAACGUCCUACGGGAGGCA